CUUUCUGAUUUUUUUUUUAUUUACCCUGAGCUGGUGGAAGGGGAUGGGGAGCAGAACGUGGCCCUCAUAAUCCACAAGGAAUUGUUUGGCAACCUGCUACAGCACUUAGAUGUACACAAGUCGAUGGGGCCGGAUGGGAUCUGCCUGAGGGUGCUGAGAGAACUGGAGGAAGACCUGGCCAUGCUACUUUCCAUC
This is a long non-coding RNA of Oxyura jamaicensis (ruddy duck), 195 nucleotides long. RefSeq lists it as uncharacterized. The record is from RefSeq and is a predicted model, not a curated record. The transcript has 4 exons. NCBI's taxonomy places the organism in Eukaryota, Metazoa, Chordata, Aves, Anseriformes, Anatidae.